RNAcentral lists this ribosomal RNA (267 nucleotides) under uncultured prokaryote. RNAcentral's name for it is "partial 16S ribosomal RNA". It matches the Rfam family "Bacterial small subunit ribosomal RNA", at positions 524 to 789 of the family's 1533-position model. The record is from RNAcentral.
UACGGAGGAUCCGAGCGUUAUCCGGAUUUAUUGGGUUUAAAGGGUGCGUAGGCGGCUUUUUUAAGUCAGCGGUGAAAUUUUGCAGCUUAACUGUAACAGUGCCGUUGAUACUGGGGAGUUAGGAUUUGGUUGCUGUGGGUGGAAUGUGUGGUGUAGCGGUGAAAUGCUUAGAGAUCACACAGAAUAUCGAUUGCGAAGGCAGCUCACAAAGCCAAGAUUGACGCUGAGGCACGAAAGUGUGGGGAUCAAACAGGAUUAGAUACCCGU